This is a non-coding RNA of Acanthosepion pharaonis, 110 nucleotides long. The record is from the annotation of a GenBank genome assembly. Lineage: Eukaryota; Metazoa; Mollusca; Cephalopoda; Sepiida; Sepiidae.
CAAAAUCACACUGAAAACACCGGUUGACAUUCAGUUAUUGAAGUUAAGCAGCAUAGAGCCUAAUCAGUACUUAGAUGGGUGACCACUUAGGAAUAUUGGGUGCUGUAGGC